UAGGCUUGACAUGCACGGGAAUGUCGUAGAAAUAUGGCAGCCCUUCGGGGCUCGUGCACAGGUGGUGCAUGGCUGUCGUCAGCUCGUGUCGUGAGAUGUUGGGUUAAGUCCCGCAACGAGCGCAACCCUUGUCAUUAGUUGCUACAUUCAGUUGGGCACUCUAAUGAGACUGCCGGUGACAAACCGGAGGAAGGUGGGGAUGACGUAU
This 208-nucleotide unclassified non-coding RNA is filed under the name uncultured bacterium. RNAcentral describes it as "contains 16S-23S intergenic spacer region". It matches the Rfam family "Bacterial small subunit ribosomal RNA", at positions 976 to 1187 of the family's 1533-position model. The record is from RNAcentral.